UGGCUCAGAACGAACGCUGGCGGCGCGCUUAACACAUGCAAGUCGAGCGAGAAAGUGGAGCAAUCCAUGAGUACAGCGGCGUACGGGUGAGUAACACGUGGGUAAUCUACCUUUUAGUGGGGAAUAACCCUGGGAAACCGGGGCUAAUACCGCAUAAUCCUGAGAAGGGAAAGCAGCAAUGCGCUGAAAGAGGAGCCCGCGGCCGAUUAGCUAGUUGGUGAGGUAAAGGCUCACCAAGGCGGUGAGCGGUAGCCGGCCUGAGAGGGCACACGGCCACACUGGCACUGAAACUCGGGCCAGACGAAUACGGGAGGCAGCAGUGGG
This 324-nucleotide ribosomal RNA is filed under the name uncultured Acidobacteriota bacterium. Its description in RNAcentral is "bacterial SSU rRNA". It matches the Rfam family "Bacterial small subunit ribosomal RNA", at positions 20 to 358 of the family's 1533-position model. Lineage: Bacteria; Pseudomonadati; Acidobacteriota. The record is from RNAcentral.